UGUUGCAUUAGGUGGUAACAAUUCAAAGUGAAUUACUCCUUUGCAAUUCCACCAGAUAAAAGAAACUUUUUCCCAUGAAGUUCCCUUCUUGGUUGUGGUUGAGCUUUUUCCUUUUUACCAAGCCACUGUUUAUGAUGUUUAACAUUUUGAUAGAAGAUCCAUUUUUCCUCACCAGUCACAAGUCUAUCCAGAAUGGAUGAAAUGAGUUCACAGGAAUGGAGUGAAGAGCAGAUGUCAACUCAGGAUUUGCGGUUGCUUUCGGACAAUUCAUGAGGCACCCAUUUUCCAAGGUUAGGAAACUUUGCAAGUUGUUGAAGAUGACAAUGAACAGUUGUAUGGUUUGAACUAAGCUUUAUUACCAAUUCUUCAACUGAUAAUGCAGAUUUUUCUUCAAGUAAUGCCUCAAGGAGCUUAUCAUCAAACUCAACUGGACAUCCUGUUCAAUCUUCAUCGUCAAGGCUGAAAUCUCCACUUUUGAAUUUUGCAAACCAUCUUCUGCAAGUUCUUUCAUUCAAGCAUUCUUUCCCAUAAACUGAGAGUAUGUUUUGAGUCACUUCAACUGCAGAGUUUCCUUUUUUGUUCUCAUAAAGCAUUAUGUGCCUCAAAUGCUCUUUGGAUACUUCCAUGUUAGAAAGGGUUUUAAUCAAAGAAAUUUUAAUUCUAUCAUUCUGUAAAAUAAUAUUUAAUUAGUUUAAAUGUACGCAAAUGCAUAAGUAUAAUUUUUAAUUCAAUUAGACAUUCUAAAAUACUAUUAAAUUUCAUUCAAUUUUAAAAAAGGUAAAAUUGGGCAGAACUUAUGGGAUGACCUGAUAAAUGGAAAAAUGUGUCACUCAAGACGGACUUCAGUUUGAACAAUUUUCAUGAUGUUUCAUGUUUAGAUGAUUUUAUUAAAUUCAUUCAGUUGUUAAACAUAAAUAAAUCUUGGAAUUUCAUUUACUGUCAGACAGCUUUUAGCCAACCUUGCAUAUAUAUAUAUAUAGGGAUCAAAACAGUUUGACAAAAGCUCCUUGGUACUCAGAGUUUCCGGCUUGAUGCUAAAUUUCAGCCAUGGGAGUUUAAAAGCUUAGCAUCACACUUGAAACUCAAAGAGUUGGAAUCAAACUAUUUUAAUCCAUACUGGCAAGCAAAAUUCUUACCACAUAGCAUGCCUAUAUAUAUAUGUGUGUGUGUGUGUUUUAAUCAUAGUAAUUAUAAUUAAAUUUAUGCAUUGUCAUUCUCAUCAGUGUGAAGAAUCUUUUGAAGAACAUCAAGAAAGUAUAAUAAGAUGAAAUAGAAUAAAAUAAAACAAAAAUAAAAACAAAAUAAGAUACAAUAAGAGAACACAUAUGGGGCAGUAAGGGAAAAUCGGAUAAUUUACAAACCAAGUUGUGAAAGGGAAAAAUAAUGAUAACAAUAAUAAUAGUGAGAAAGACGAAAAAAAUACUAUGAUUAGAACUUUUUUCUUACACAUUUGCAUUGUUUUUCGAAACGUACAUAUGCAUUAAAUCUAGUUUUGUAAUAAAUCUAUUUCUGAUUCAACAUUUUUCUCCAUGCACGCACGCACACAUCUAAUAUACACACAUACCGUUUUUUUGUUGUAGAUGUCUGUUGUGAUGAUGGAGUUGUGUAUCUUGAAGUUGAUGUCUAGGAAGGGAAGUUCAUUGUAGUUGGUAUCUAUUGUGAAGUUGAUAGAUGGGUGCAGUGUGUUGGGGAUGUUAUGGAAUGUUCAUAGAUCUUCUGAUCUGUUCCAAAAGUUGAAACAGUCAUCGCGGUAGCGUUUCCACUUUUUCUUAAUGUCUACUCUAAAGUCGUGUUCGAAGACUUUCCCUAUUUCAUCAUAUAGUUUAUUCUCAAGGAAAAACCGACACACACCAAUACUUAAAUUUUUACUCCUGCCACCCAUCCCACAUAAAAAAGAAACAUCCCAUAUAGUAUGGCAAGACGCAUAGUGACUGACUCACAAACACACCAAAUAAAACUAAAUGAACUAAAAAACUUCCUACUAGAACAGAAAUCCCCUCUCAAAUUAAUAAAAAACGGAAUCUCAAGAGCAAUGAAACUGGACAUCACACAACUCAGAACUCAAAAAAAGAAAAACAAAGAAAACAUCAUCCCUUUCAUAAACACACAACCCUGGAGUUAGCAACAUGUUUCAAAUUAUACAUUCAAACUUACCAAUAGUCCUACAAAGCCCCAAAAUGGGAAACAUAUUAAACAAAUAUUGCAUAAAUAACAGUAAACACCAAGAGAAAAACCUGAAGAAAUAACUAACAAGGGCAAAAUUCUCAUCAGAGAAUAAAACCGAAUUCUUUGUAUAAGAGUGGGGAGAUGGUAGAUGUGGGAUCUGCAGUAACCCCAUCGACAAAUAUAUAGAGGGAAACAAACAAACAAAAUUUAAGAGUGGUCACACAUUCAAAGUAAAUGCAGACACGAAUGCAAGACACAGAACAUAUAUAUUGCAUAACCUGUCCCACAUGCAAGGGGGAUUAUAUAGGCGAAACUGGAUAUUCUUUAUGCCAAUGAGCCAGAAUUCACCGACAUGUCCGACAGGAGGAACUGCAAAAGAUUCCACUGAGUAAACACUUAGAAAUAUGUGGAGAAGGAAAAUUUAAGAGCUUUCCCUUCUAUAAAUGCCCAGGAAAAAUAUGGAACAAUACUUCAUAACAAAGUUCUCCCCCAAACUGAAUGGCUGAAAAUAUGAAAAGCACAGCAACUUGCCUAUAGACCUAUCUAGAACUAUUAGCUUUGUCUGUAUAAUAAUGUCCUCACAAUGUACAAGAAAUUGUAUGCAUAUGUUUCAUCAAACUCCACAAGACACUUUCCCUUGUACAUUAUUACCCAUCCUAAUAUCUUCAUUUUUGUAAAGAAUUGUUCCUUAUCUUCAUUCCUCUUGAAAUAUAUAUAUAUAUAUAUAUAUAUAUAUAUAUAUAUUUGUGUGUGUAUAUAUAUAUAUAUAUUUGUGUGUGUAUAUAUAUAUAUAUAUAUAUAGCUGUGACUGGUGAAAUAUCACUACUUCUGUAAUGAUUUGUACUAGAUGAAGGACCAAUUUUGUAAAAUAAACUGUAAUUUUGUAUUAAACACACACACAGUACUGUACAUAUACAUAAAUAGAAACAAUCUUACAUCCAGAUUUUCCAACCCAUACCAGCACGAAGAACCAAACAUUGGACAAGGAUGAUGAUGAUGAUAAUAAAUCCAUACAAUAUUUUGAAAAAUAACUUUUAUUAACCAACUUGUCAUCUUCUAUUGAAAUAACUGAACAGCUGUAUAGAUGUAAACACAAUUUUUUCUUCUAUCAGUAGACCCCACCCCUUAGAGUAGCCACCUGGUUUUGCCAUUUUUAAAGGCCAAGAAUCAACUCAUCACUUUCUAUUGAAAGAACUGACCAGCUGUAAAGAUGUAAACACAUUUUUUUCUUCAUUCUCUCUUCCCUUCACUUUUCCAUUGACACUCCUUUCAGAUACACAGACACACACACUCUCUCUCACUUUCUCCCCAUUCCUCACCCUCUUUUACUAUCUUAUAUCUCUCCCUACCCCCAC
This 3521-nucleotide long non-coding RNA is filed under the name Octopus vulgaris (common octopus). The record is from RNAcentral. Lineage: Eukaryota; Metazoa; Mollusca; Cephalopoda; Octopoda; Octopodidae.